CUGGGAAGGAAUUGGGAGCGCUCUCCCUUCCAGUGCCGCUUUUACUGGGAGCGCUGGGAACGAUGGUGAGAGCACCGGGCAGGAAAUGGGAGCGCUCUGCCUGCCAGUCCCGCCCUUACUGGGAGCACUAGGAACGAUGCACCUCCUCCUCCCCCAGUGGGUGCAGGGAGACAGGCAAUGGAGGUUUCUGCUCAGUUCAUCACCUGUUGUUUCUCCAGUUGCUCAUGGAUAGGAGUCAUUCCCCUGCUGUGCCAGGAGUCCCUCCUGGAGAAACUUCUCCAUGAACUUCUCCAAGGUUUUACCACCAUUUCUAACUGGCCCAGCCUUGGCUGGCAGCUGGUCCAUCCUGGAGCUGGCUGGAAUUGACUCUGCAGGACAUGGAGGAGCAGCUGCUUCCAGCAGCCUCUCACAGAAGGUGCUUCUAGACUCCCCCCUUACCAAAGCCUGGCCAUGGAAAUCUAGUAUAAGUAUGGGUGACGUUAGGAUGUUUGUAUCCCCAUUCGUGUGUGUUAUUUAUGCUGGAUAUUAUGUUCUGUGCCUUCAAGACUGGCUCUGCAGAGUGAAAGUUUUGGUUUGGGCCUCUUAUCAGCCACUCCCCCACAGCCAGCGGGACACAGAGACGGGACAGAACAUAGUGCUGUUUUUGAUUUUUGCCCUGCUUUUCGCUUUGCUCUUGCUUCUGCUUUGCUUCUGCUUGCUCUUGUUUUAUGCUUCUUCUCAUUAGUUAGUUUAGCUAAACAGUCCAAAUUUCUUCCUGGACUGUUUCUCCUUUCCUUUUUGGAUCUACCCGAACCUGCUCCGGACUUGGACCUGGGAAAUAACGAGUUUGCACCUUGAGGCUUCAGCAGCUGCCCCAGUGCUGGAGGGACUGAUAACAAAGCAACAACCCCAGGAGAGACUUUCUGAAUUUGUCAUCUUUUUCAGAGUGGUGAAAGAGUGGUGUCAUCUGGUAUUGUUCAUUUUGUGUGCUGGGGGGUGCUGUGCCUGUUAAAUAAACAGGUUCUUUCCACUUCUCUCCGGGGAAUUCUUCCCGAACCGGUUGGGGGGAGGGGCCGUGUGGGUUUGCUUUCUGGAGGGGCCUUUCUGGGGAUUCUCUCCCAAUUUUGCCCUAAACCAGGACACACCUGCUAAGCACAAAUGAUCAUGGGAUACUCCAUUCCUUAUCCAUCCCCCAGACAGGUUUGAGGAAUAAACCUUGUGUAAGCUGACCAGGUGCAGAGGAUUUUUCCUUUGACAACACGGGGGAUGCUCUGGGGGGCUGUUGAGAGACUGAAAUAUUGUGGUUCAUGGCUUAAACUUUGUCAGGAAGGACUUUUUGCCCAUUAUGGCAGCGUGUCCAGAGGAGGGCAACAAGGCUAGUGCUGGAUUUGGAACACUAGCCCUAUGAGAAAAAACUGAGGGAGCUGGGGAUGUUUAGCCUGGAGAAAAGGAGACUCAGAGGUGACCUUAUCACUCUGUACCGCUUCCUGAAAGGUGAUUGUACUCAGGUGGGGAUUGGUCUCUUUCUCCAAGCAGCAACUGACAGAACAAGAGGACAGUCUCAAGCUGUGUAAGAGAAAUAUAGGUUGGAUAUUAGGAAAAAGUUGUUCACUGAAAGAGUCAUAAAGUUCUAGAAUGGCCUGCCCGGGGAGGUGGUGGAGCUGCCGUCCCUGGAUGUGUUUAAAAAAAGACUGGAUAUGGCACUAAGUGGCAUGAUUUAGUUGAGGUGUUUAGGGCAUGGGUUGGACUUGAUGAUCUUGAAGGUCUCUUCCAACACAGUCAUUCUGUGAAUUCUGUGAACUGUGCAAAGAAGCUGCAACCACCCAAGUUCACCCCUCCCUGAAUGUGCCUCCUGAGGGGAAUUUUUGGGCUGUGAGUUGAGCUGAGGGACCUUGAGAUAAGGGAAAUAUGGCUCUUGUCCAGUGAUCUCAGGUCUAGGGAGAACUAAACAAGGCUGAGGGAGAAGAAUGAAUCCACCAGAAAGCCAAGCCCAGAGCUGUCCUGAAAAUCAUCCCAGGCUGGGGUCGGGCUGGGGUCAGCCACAGCCCCCAGACUCAUUUACUGAGACCAGAUUUACAUCCCCAUUACUCACUUAAGGGGGGAGGUGAAGAGUUUUGGGGGUGUGCGGUAACCCCUGCCCAGGGGGAGUGAACACCACCCCCCUUACCUAAACUGGCUCAGGUAUAAACCCCACAGUCUGGGAAGGCCACCCACACCCAGGGAAGGUCUCUGUCCCUGUCACUUUAUUUCUCUCCCCUCUUUUCUCUUUCACAGGCUGGAAGGGUUUGCCAAAUGUGAGAAUCAUUCUUCUCUUUGUCCCUGUCACCUUUGUGACAGCUGCACAGAAUUAUUCUUUCAUUUUAAUAAUCUAUAUUGGGCUGAAUUUCCACUUUUUUUUUAAUUGCAACCUGCCAGCAGCUGAGCUGGAGCUGUGCAGGAACUGAUGAAACUCUCAAUUGCCACCAUAAUUGUUUGUAUUGUCAGUUUAUUCAUGUUUGGGAUUUGUUUGCAUUUUCAUCACAGGUGACUUGUGGGAAGAGCAAAUAUUCCUGAAAGCAUUUUAUGUAGUUAAAUUUGAUUUCUGCCAAGUUUAAUUUGUCCGGUGCUGAAGGGAUGCUCAAGGGGUCUCCAUGCCUCUUACCCUGGGGUAUGCUUGGGAGGGAAUUGGGGAGGUUGUCCCUAUCCCUCCUGUUAUAGAUUAAUAAUGUAAUAGUCGGCUCACACAAUUAAGAGGUAGAUAUUAUGUGGAUGUUAAAAUGUAUAGUGAUGUUAUUGUAAUAUGUCUUCCCAUAGUCCUCUUUCCCCUUCCCCUUUCAAUAGCCUCUGUAGUCAGGACAUUUUGAGAAGGCUGGCUUAUUACCAGGAGGUACAGCGUAACAAUACCUGAUCUCCAGUCAAGAUGAAAGAAAGUAAUCUCCACCAAUGGACAGCAGAGAAGGAGUUGACUGACAAAACUUUGAGAGGGGCUAAGAAUACAAAAGGCAGAGCAUCCAUUUUGUAGAGAAGCACGUGGAUAACAGUCACAGGGGAGGCUCCCAGCACUGUAAUUUUUCCUUAUUUAGUCCUAUGUUAUAAUUUUUGUUGAGAUUUAAUAAGCCUUUUAAAAUUUUAAAAGUGAGAGUAGUUUCUCACAAAUUGAGGGAUUUGUCCAGGAUAUUGAGUAGUUAAAAACGAAGAUCUCAGACAGAGACUCUCUACCGAGUUAAAGUUAGAAAGUGGUGUGCUUAUUACACUGGUGGGCAGCAUGGGGCUCAUCCCCGAAAGGUGUGACCAUGCUGGACAAAGUUCUUUACCCUCUAUUUAUUCCCCAAGAUCUUACAUACAAUACAUAUACAUAACCCCAGCACCUCCCAUCCUUGCUCUCUAUUAAAAUGAGGUUACUAGUCCUUCACACGUGCGCAAUUCUUCUCUUGAAUUGGGUUGGUGGUCUCGAAAUGGGUCAGUGUUCUUGAAAGAUGAAGUCAGGAACGUCUUCAUCAGGUCUCUGUGACCCUCUGGCACAAGCCAAGGCCUCCUGCUUUGUAAUUGCUUAAUGUAAAGUCCAGAUACUAACCAUUGUUCCACUGGUUUCAACAUGUUCUUAUAACGGUUCACUUACUCCACUCCCUUCUGUAAUCAAGCUCAUAAUGAAUCAGUUUUAGUGUAAGCAUAUAACAAUCAUUAACCUACCAUCUACCUACCACCUGAUCAAUGUAAAUUGUUUCUAUCCCUCAGCUAAAAUCUUAAUUUUUUUGAAAUCAUGAUUCAAUAUAAAAUCUCAUCUCUGUGGCCCUGGGAGAUUUUGGAUGAAUGGUGCACCCCUGCUGAAUUUGGCAUCUUGAACGAUGUCUCUUAGGACCAUCAGUGAUAGCAGGUCGACACCAUGGAUAAACAAAGACUAGAUAACGAAAAAGAAAAGGGGGAAGAAGAGAAAAAGCCCCUGAAAACUACAGAUUUAGAAGAUUGUGAGUAUUAGUACAUGUAUGCUUGAAGUAUGAGUGGGGUAGUUCUGGGAGUGUGCUUGGGGUAGAUAAGAAACUUAGAAGAUCCUCAUAAGUAUUCUGGCCAAAUUGUUUGUCUAUAAUUUGGUGUUCAAAUGUCAGCUCCAGGCAAGUCAUACACAGGAUCUGUUCCAGGAGUCUGUUAGAGCUUAAGGACAAGUGUUUUAGAUAUUUAGACAUUUAAGGCAUUUACACAUUUAGGAAUUUAAACAAUUAGGCAUUUAGACAUUUAAGGCGGGACAUGUAGAAGAGGAAAACAGGGACCCCGUAAAAGUGGGGACCCUGUGGCCGGAGGGAUGCAUGUGAUAGAGCGCUAGAGUUAUGGAGACCCAAGAGCAUCUGGAAAUGUCAGAUUGAGGGUCACCAGAUUUAGAGGGUGUUAGAGUAAUGGCAAAACAGACUGUUCAGUGAAGACCGCGCUCGUGUAGAGGCGAGGAGUCACAGCAGCUUUCGCAGCCUGCCAGCAUGGGGUGGAGGGGGCCAGUGUGGCUGCUCCACAUGGAGCAGCGGUGUGCACAGCACUCAGCACGGUGAGCUUUUGGCAUGCACUCGGUGCAGUAACUUCUAGAGCUUACCAGCUGAGGCUUGGGAGAGGGUGCUGCCACUGGUAGCAGCGACUGAAAAAUGCUGCGUGUGGGGGCAUCCUGUGCUAGCCCAGUGAGGAAAGGGAGGCAGGAGGCCCAUAGCUGGAAAGAAACUGCACCUGUGCACGCCUGCUUGAGGUGACUCGGGGACACUAAGCUGUGGAGCCCAGUGGGCUGACCCCGUGGCAGGGUACCCAGGGGCCGGCGCUGGCGGGACUGCCGCUCAGAGAGAACCGGGUGUGCAGGGUUUUCCGAGCGGGAACCAUGGGGAGGAGGUGAGAGAGGUUUCCCUGACCCGCCACAGUGGUUUACACAGGGCGCUGCUGGCAUCUGGGGACCAGCCAGGCAGCACAAGUGUCCUCAGACUGUGGUGUUGGAAUCCGCAGCAGCUCCCUAUAAAAUCUGCCAGCACAAAGCCUUGAGACUUGGGCGCUGCAUAUGUGGCAGCACCUGGAGGUGGCAGAGGGCUGUGGGCAGCAAGAGGGCUGCCAGCAGCGACCGGGACGGCUUUCACUGAGUGCAGAGGCGCCUGGCAGAGCAGGCCUGCUUGCACAGGGUUUCCAGGCCAGGGACUGUGCCAGCCUGCAUAGGUGGUAGUGGGCCGGGGGCACCUGGUGCAGUGACCUUCAACAGUGCCAACCUGACUGAGGGUGACUGUGGCAGUCAGAAGCAAUGGAGCCGAGAGCCGCCAGUCCACUGGUGCAGGCUGCUGGCCAUGCUUGUGGAUCUGGGGGUUUGGAGGCAGGGGCCAGUAUCAGCGGUAGCCACGGACAACAGGGGCCACAGGUAGCGAGGGGCUGGCGCUGAGUGUGGCAAUUUAGGGCACAUGGGACGUGGUUUGUGCUCAGCGCUGCCAGGAGCUGAGAGCUGUCUCUGUUAUGCGGGUUCUCGGGGGCCGUCAUGGGUAGUUUUCAGCAGUUGCUUCAAACCGAGAGGCACCAGAGAGCCAAAACAUGGCAGCAAAAAGAGCAGCAGAGCCGGCCCAGUAGUAUGGGAGGGAGUCCCCGAAUCACAGGUGGGUUGGUUUUUUUUUUUUGCCUUUUGGAAAGAAAGUAAAGGGUUUUUUUUCCUUUGUUCCUUUUUCUUCUUUCUUCACUUGUUUUUGUUCUUUCUCCUUCUAGCUAAUUAGGAAAGCAAGCCUUGUUGAAAAGACAUGUAGUUCGCUAAUUAAAAGUCCCCAAAAGGAGAAGGAGGAUCCUCUCCCUGUGGAAUACUCUGAUUCCUUCCCCCUCAGGGAAAACCCCAGAGCCCUCCCUUGGAGAAGACUUACCAUAGAGUCUUUCACCACCUGGGCGGACAGAAAGGACUUCCUCAUGGACUUUUGCUUAACAAUGAACUACUCCUAUUCCUUUCCCCAUGUGGUGCCCCUAGUGGCCAGCCCCAUCUUCCCUAAGAGCCAAUCCCCUUUGCCCUGCCCAUUAUACCACCCCCAUACCCUCCCCUACUUAAACCUUGUGCAGAGCACAUGGUUUGUCUUUUGUCUCUGGCUCCCCUUACGAGUGUGCAAAUAAAUCUCUUGGGAACUGACCAUAUAAAAGGCCCUUCUGCCUCUCUUUGCUGAGCUAGCUGUGGUGAGUGUGGACUGCCUUGCCUGAAUGCUCACCCAAGCGGCUUUUCCACAGGAGAUGCAUAUUGGGAAAUAGGUAGCAGCAACCACCAUCCAUCCCCACAUUGCUACAUCUCCCCUGUUCUCUUGCCCUCCUCUGGGCUGCUAAGCUUCUAGGCUUUUCUUUUUACUUAAUCUUCAGGCUUUUCAUCUAGUAGUUGCCAAGCAAAUUAGGAAGGAGUGCACUGGAAUGUGAUUUUUAGAGACUGGAGUAUGCCUGUAGUUUCCUGACAUGGCUUAGACCACUGUUACCUCUCAGCCACUGACCACCUUAUAGUUGGGGCUGCUGGGGAGCACUACACAAGCUCCUUAAAUUGAGCAAACAUUGAGAGAGUAUAAAACCCUGGUUUCCUCUUUGUGACUGCUUUCCCAUUGUUCCAAGCUUGUGCAGCCCCAUUUCUGUGGUGCAGGGGGAGUACGAAAUGACCAAACCAGACUGCCGGCCCUGUUUUACUCCCUGUGCCCAGCUCUGUACCCAUGUCUGGUGAUUUCCUCUCUUGAUAAGCUCCUAAGAAUUUUUCUUCAGCUGAGGGCUCUGUCCUGAAAGCUUCACUCUUCUUCCGGGCUUUCCUCCCACAACCAAGAACAAAUACUCACCUUGCAUUGUGUAUAAUUAAUUAGUCAGCACUUGUGGCAGAGUAAGAGGGAAAGUUAAGGAGCUACCAGAGAUGGUUCUGCCAGCAACUAGGAAGAGGGAAAAGAAAUUAGACACUUUCCCAGUUUGUGUCUCACUGCACAUUGCAGAGUCCUAGUGCAGUGGCAUUUCCCUUUUUUUGUAGCUACCCCAGUUGUUUUAGGGUUGAGGGGAUGGUUGGCUCCUGGCAGACCCUUUUUGUAGUUUGUAGCCCCCUUUCCCCUGUAGUUUGAUGCCUCCUUCAUCACUCAUCUCAUCUGUUGUGUUCUUUUUCUUCCCUGAAGCUUUUCCUACUUUUCUGCAAUAUUGCCAAAUGUUGGAAAGAGCAAGAACAGCCUUCAACAAAGCCCUGUAACUGUAAUGAACACUGCCAAAGUGCUACUUCUUUUUCAGGUUAAGAGAAGAGCUUAAGUGUCAAAAGCUUAGAUGCAUGGCACCUAUACCUUUCCCUCCUUCAGUCCAAGAGGACAGGCCUGCCUGUUCCCACCCCAGAGGCACAGAGGGUGCUCUCUGACAGAAUUCUGGAAUGAUUGGGAUUGGAAUGAACCCUGUCUAUUGAUAUAGGGAACUUAUAAUUAAACUAAAAAACAGACUAUAGUUUGCUGUGUAAUCAAGUGUGUUAUCAAGGACAGAUAAUCCUUUACUGUAUAACAACAGAAUUUUGCCUAUUGCUAAAAACUUAUAACCAGAUAAAAACCGGAUCUGCAAUUUAGACUGUGGCCAGAAACCUUAGAAAACAACCAGAUACCCAGAAAGUCUGUGCAAAGACCACAUUCAUCCAAAAGGCAUCCUGAGGAUGACUACUGACCUUCAUCCAAUGACCCCUGCCCAAGACUACCAGAAGACAGUACUGUGAUAGAUGAGUAAUGCAAUGAUUGACUCUCACAAUCAAAAAGGCAAAUAUUAUGUAUAUGUUAAGAGAAGUUUUAUAGAUUUAUAGUUAUGUUUCACCCCAUUGCAUUGUUAUCACAGAAUGGCCUGGGUAGUCAGGGCAUUUGGGAGGGUUGGCUUGUUACUAUGGCAACACGUGUCCUCCAAUCAAGAUGUAAGAAAGUGAUCACCACUGGACAGCGAAGAAGGAGUCAAUUGACAAGACUUUGGGAGGGGCUAAAGGGUUAAAGGAGGGAGCAUUCCUUGUGUGGAUGAGCACAUUGUGGGAAAACAUCAUUUGCUCCAGGUUUGAAAAACACGUUCACUAUCCUGUGAAAAUUUAAAAGUUUAAUAAAGGACAAUAGGAGACAAGGACCAUAGAGCAAAGAUUAUUACGGCUGGAUGCAUUUUGGCACUUAGCCAAGACCACCCUGUUAUCUUCAGGGAUACCCCUUAAAUACCUUUUCCAUUACGUCAGCCUGUUGCAUACUUACAGACCCUUAUGCAUAGUAAACUUUUCCCCAAAUUAGUUUACACGUUUCAAGAAUUGUUUAGCAUAUCUCCUCCUUGGAUCUGCCUUUUUAGAGCAUGUGUAUUCCUUGGUUGUGCUUUUAGUCCAUUUCUGUUACCUCCAGGUUUUUUGGGCUAUGGUCCACACUGUCUUCAGAUGGUGAGUGCUGAUAGUUGGCAUAUCUGUAGCAGGUGUCUUCUUCAUAUGUUCAUUGGAUGUUAUCCCAUCCAAGCAGGAAUUUUAACACAACUGUGAAAAAAGCCAUUCACUUGUGUUAAAAAUAGUAAUAAAAAUUAGGACAAUAAGAAUUUGGACAAUCAAAGUUAGGACAAUAAAAGGCAAUAAAAAGCAAAGAAUUACGGAUGUCCGAGUGCCUUGCACUCUGCCACAAAGCAUCCUUUGCUAAGAUUACCCCUUAAAAGCGAUAGCCUAUUGCAUAUUCAUAUAUCACAUACAUGAUUCAAACAUUCCUUUCAAACUAGAGUGUUUCUGCUUAAUUUCAGCUUCCCCCCUUCAUCUUGUAAAUCAAUCUUUUUGGUUCCUCUAAGUCUGAGCUUUCCCAAUAAGGAGGCAAUAAUUCUUUUCUUGGAAUCCUGUUGUAUCUCCAUCCAGAGAGGAUAAUGCAAAGAAUUUCUUGAUUAUCUUUUCCAUUCUUUGGGCUAGUUACAAAAAGUAUCUUACAUCACAUAAUUUCUAUUUUAAUAUUAUGCUAUACCCUAAAACUAUAUUUACCACACUACUUAAAAGAGAUUAAUAUAGCAUACCUUUCCAACAUAAGACAUAUAGUAUUCAUUUUAAUAUUUGAGAAGAGCCAAUCAUAUAAUAUGCAUUUUUCACAAUCCUCCCUCUUUCUUUUUAUAAAUAAUUUGGCUUGAGCAAUAUUCCUUGUUUUCUAGCCUUCAUUAUUCGCUCAUUUUUUUUACAAAUCAAUCUUGCUUCUCUGAAGGAGUCUUCUUUAUUAUUUUGUUUCUUUAACACCAUAAUCUUUUGCGCUGUUCUAGAUGCAGUCAACUUUUGGUCCAUGGACAUUGUCACUACUUGCAUGACUUGUACUACACUGGUGAUGAGCCGAAUGAAACAGGGGAUCAAAGGAGAAAGAAAUAUUAGACCAGCUGUAGUGCAUGAAAGGAAGAAGCCUAACUUCUUCCACCAUUCUAUUGCCAAUACAUCAUCCCACCAGCUAGUAUUUAGCAUUGAUUCCCACUUUUCAACUGGUACAUGGGCAGUUUUUCUGAUAUCAUUGACUAUAUCCAGGACAGCAUCCCCAUUGUCAUCUAUUUUUAAACAGCCAUCUGAUGUAUUGAAUUUUCCACAAAUACCUCCUUCUUCAGCUAAUAGAUAGUCUAAAGCCAACCUAUUCUGAUACGCAGCCACUCUUGUUUGGGUUUGUUGUCUUGAUAUUAAUUCCAUUGCCCGACCAGUUCUGUUGGUUAUUAUCUCUACAGCGGCUUGGAGUUUUCUAAUACAAUUUAGCAUAUAAAUUGGGGUUUGAUAUCCCCAACUCCCAUCUUGUGCCCAGGUGGCUGGCCCAUACGUUUCCAGUAUGCGUUCAGGGAGCCAUUCUUCAUCUGCCCAUUUUUGGAAUCCUCAAAUCAAAUCUCUUUUCUUUCUCUUCAGAUACUUAUAAACUGGUAUCCCUGAUUGAUCUUAAUCAGGUUCUGGUAAAAGAAAAAAUCCUGGCUGUAUGUUUCCCAGAGUACAGCUCCCUUUCCACUGAGAGGGGAGUUUUGGGUAUGCUCUUUUUCCAUAUAUCUAAAAUAAGCCAUCUGAAGCUUUCCAAUAAUAAUUUUUCUGUUUAUCUAUAUUCUCCCAAAAUUUGGAGAUUUCUGGGAUGCCAAAGUAAGGAUUCUUGCCUGUAUAAUUACAUUGAAAAAGUCUAAUUUUAUUAUUAUACUUACAAUUUCCUUUUUUUUAUUUUUCCCUGGGUCCAGUAUAGGAUUGGUUCCUCUUCUGGAAGAUUUUCCAUUACUAACCUUAUAUCUUUUACAGGGAGGAUUUCCUACUUCAUGAAGAAACCUUUUUCCAGUGCGCCAGAGACAUUCUUCCCCUACCACUAUUGAACUUAAAUCCACCCUUCUGGAUUUCCCAUUCCCAAACCUUGGCCAGAUCUAGGGGAAGGCUGUGAGGAAGAUGUCCCAGGACAUCCAGGCAGGCACUGAGCUGAUGAUGGAGACGACGGAGCAAAAAUCCCCAUGGCAGAACCUCAUGGAAAAGGCCAUUUUGAGCGGCUCCAUGGCACAGGAAUCCAAUGGGAAAUAAAAGCCCCAGAGAUCCCACAUGAGGAGGGGCUCCAAACCCAGCCCAGGGCGCUUCAAACAGGAAAGACCCACUCUGUGUCUGGAAAGUGGUUGGAGAUCCAGCUUGAGCUCUGACCUGGUUGUCCAUGAGCAGCAUCAAUUGGGGGAGAAGUCUUACAAGUGCUUGGAAUGUUGGAAGAGCUUCAGAGAUGGCUUCAACUUCCUCUGCCACGAGAGGAUCCACAAUGGGGAGAGGCCCUACUAGUGUCCCAAGUGUAGGAAGAGAUUUCAGACCAGCUCCAAUCUCCUGCACUAGCGGAUUCACACAGAGGCCUUUCUGCUGCCCUGACUGCGGGAAGGGCUUCAAGCUGAACUGCAACCUCAUCAGACACCAGUGCAUUCACACCCAGGAUAUGCCCUAUGAGUGUCCUGAGUGUGGGAAGAGCUUCUCCAGCAGCUCUCAUUUGACCAGGGACCAAUGGAGUCACUGGUAAGGGAAGCCCUGUGAGUGCCCUGACUCUUGCAAGCUUUAUCUGCUGCUCCAUCUUCCUCCCCUACUGGAGGACCCACAUUGGGAAGAGCUCUGCUGACCCACAUUCCUGGUGAUCCACCUUGGGAAGACACCUGUGCCUUUCCCUGCCCUGAAAAUGAUAUGAGGUGUAAUAGUAGAACAUGAGGAUCUAGCCAUGCCCAUAUCAUUAUAUUUGAUCCCACCUCAGGUCAUUGCCAGGGGCAGGGGAAGGGGCUCUUUCUCUCUCUCAUGAGGAGAAGGGUGUCCUUUCCAGGUGGGAGAAAAUACAUGGUCAGGAAAAGCUGAUCAGUGCUGUAGUUUUCCCAUUUUUAAAAAAUAAUUUGUGUUAUUCCUUCUGUUAUCAAUAUUGUUGCUGUUCCUGUUUGUUUGUUAACUCGUUGCUGUUCCCAGUAAAUUAUUCUUAUUACA
Long non-coding RNA from Haemorhous mexicanus (house finch), 11341 nucleotides. RefSeq lists it as uncharacterized. The record is from RefSeq and is a predicted model, not a curated record. NCBI's taxonomy places the organism in Eukaryota, Metazoa, Chordata, Aves, Passeriformes, Fringillidae. The transcript has 6 exons.